UACGGAGGGGACUAGCGUUGUUCGGAAUUACUGGGCGUAAAGCGCACGUAGGCGGAUUUGUAAGUUAGAGGUGAAAGCCCGGGGCUCAACUCCGGAAUUGCCUUUAAGACUGCAUCGCUUGAAUCCGGGAGAGGUGAGUGGAAUUCCGAGUGUAGAGGUGAAAUUCGUAGAUAUUCGGAAGAACACCAGUGGCGAAGGCGGCUCACUGGACCGGUACUGACGCUGAGGUGCGAAAGCGUGGGGAGCAAACAGG
RNAcentral lists this ribosomal RNA (253 nucleotides) under uncultured bacterium. RNAcentral describes it as "partial 16S ribosomal RNA". It matches the Rfam family "Bacterial small subunit ribosomal RNA", at positions 524 to 776 of the family's 1533-position model. The record is from RNAcentral.